This 402-nucleotide ribosomal RNA is filed under the name uncultured Sphingobacteriales bacterium. Its description in RNAcentral is "bacterial SSU rRNA". It matches the Rfam family "Bacterial small subunit ribosomal RNA", at positions 980 to 1382 of the family's 1533-position model. The record is from RNAcentral. Lineage: Bacteria; Pseudomonadati; Bacteroidota; Sphingobacteriia; Sphingobacteriales.
UCAAAUAGUAUGUUGACGUAUUCUGAAAGGGAUACUUCUUCGGACAAUAUACAAGGUGCUGCAUGGUUGUCGUCAGCUCGUGCCGUGAGGUGUCGGGUUAAGUCCCAUAACGAAGCGCAACCCCUACUCAUUAGUUGCCAUCAGGUCAAGCUGGGGACUCUAAUGAAACUGCCUACGCAAGUAGUGAGGAAGGUGGGGAUGACGUCAAAUCAGCACGGCCCUUACGUCCAGGGCUACACACGUGCUACAAUGGCCGGUACAAAGGGCAGCUACCUGGUGACAGGAUGCUAAUCUCAAAAGCCGGUCUCAGUUCGGAUCGGAGUCUGCAACCCGACUCUGUGAAGCUGGAAUCGCUAGUAAUCGCGCAUCAGCCAUGGCGCGGUGAAUACGUUCCCGGGCCUU